ACGCCUGAGGUUUUGUUAUAAACGCAGAUGAGAAAUCCUGCAUGAGGCUCUCUCAGAUUAAGUGGCUCUAAUACUGCAGAAAGCUUCCCCUGGAUUUCCAAAAAAAAAAAAAAAACAACCUUCAUCUUGUGUUCAGAAGAACACCAUGUUAAAAAGAAGCAUUUUCUCCUCUGCUGUGAGGACACGUUUUUUCCACUGGUUUUCCAUCAUGUGGUUUACUAUGACAGUCGCCACGACAGGAUCUGCGCUGGUUUCACUUUGAAUACUGUACUAAAUCCAUUGAGCUGCAGAUGGCAGUAGUGGGAUACAUACAGUAUGUUGGAUGAAGAUAAGGACACAUUACAUGACAUAACUGGCCUAAAUUCUCCUUUAAAUGUGAUCUGAAGAGGGCUGUUCAAGAUCGUCAAGAAAUACCCUCAAAAUCUGGCACAGUUUUUGCCUCCAAAAAGAGCGACCAAGUAAUGACAAUGUACCAUGCAUGAAAAUGCCUUGGUUGCUUCAAUAUAAUAUGAAGAACAGAGGGAAAAAAAGAUGUCAGGGGGAAAGGGGCCCACAAACACUGUCAAACUAGUUUUAGUUCAAAGGCCACGUUCACCACAGUUUGAUCUCAAGUGGGCCGGAGCAGUAUAUUCGUGGCCAAAUGUAAACUAUAAACAACGACUAUUCCACGUUGUCCUAUUGUUUUUGUGCAAAAACAAUUACAAGUACAUUCUGUAAAUAUUCACAUUUAGAGUAUUGAUUUUGAUCUUAUUGCAAAUCAUAACAGCAAUCUGAAAUUUCUUAACAAAAAUAGUGCAAUAUCAGCAAUAUUAUGAAUGAGACCCCCAUGGAUAAAAUUAGCAAACAGUUAAUUUUAUUGAAAAAUUGCAGUUAAGUUUGCAACACUUUGCAAAAAUCAUCCUCACAGGCCGGUUUGGACGGCUUGGUAGGCGGCUUAUGAACCACGGGUCGUACAUUUGACAUCCAUGAACUGGGAGGCUGAGGACAAGAUGCCCUUGAGCAAGGCCCAGGUCAAUAGGUGUGGUACUCUUUGCUCACCCCUGUCACUGACAUCUCAAUUUACUUUGAUAAUCCAAAGGUGAAAAGGACAAAAUUCAAUUUGCAAAAAACCAAAUUUACUCAUAAUGUACCUCAAAAGUUAUUGAUUUAUUGCCAAUAUACCAUACAUGAAUCAAUAUGAUGAUGUCGAUGAUGAUAAAAAUGUGUUGACCAUCAUAAUUGACCACCCCAAAUUAUUACUAACACUCAUUUUAAAACCCUUGAUGUGUGCUUUCUAGCUCAGUAACCAUUUUUGUGCAAACAACUAUGCGUCUUCACACAUCAAGUGACAGGAAUGCACUUGUGGUUGAAGUUCCUGUCCGAGAUUGAAUCCUUUUCAUAUUUCUGAAAAACUUAAUAUUCACUAAUUUUAUAUGAACUAUAAAAUGAUUUUUAUUAUCUCUACAUAAAGCUGUGAUGGCAGAUGUGGCUGUGAGGACAACUCCUGACAUGGUGGUCCGCUGCGGGGACAAUGUAACACUGACAUGCAAUGCCACCUCGGACGAGUUCUUGGAUGUUAAAUUAUUUUCUUGGAUUAGACCCAACAAAAUGUUAUUUGACUCUAAGGUCAAGAACAAUGACUCUGCAGUUGUGUGUCUGAACAAAACGGAUGAUUCCCACCAUACGCUCACUCUGACACUCUUAAACAUAAUGCCCAUCCACCAAGGACAGUACAUCUGCAAAUUUCGUGGACAAGUGGGAAUCAAUUCCAGCACCACUAACAUUACCGUACAAGACUGCCUUGGAAAUCAGAACUACUUCAUUAAUGAGUCUAUUGCAGAGUGCUGGUUCCAUGGAGUUUCCAGCCCUGGUAAAAUCCAGUGGUUCAAGGGAGAUGACCGGUUAACGGACUCAAUAAGAUCAAAUGAAAAAGUUGACCAAUAUGGCCGCUACAAUAUCACAAGUACAAUAAAAGCACCAAGAGGAAACCAAAUUUAUAACUGCUCAUUAUGGAUACUCGGGAAAUAUGUCUCCAGUCAAAAGGUAGUCAUGGUUAAAGAGUCAAAAAAUGCAUCCGGAAGUAAAGACAAACUCCAGUGGGUCUGUCUGAUGCUACAUGCCAUAGUGGUGACAUUUAUCAUGUAAUGAUACAAACCAAACAAGUUUGAAUUUACUGGUGAGUGUUAUAGUUGUCCAUCCAUCCAUCCAUCCAUUUUCUACCGCUUAUCCGAGGUCGGUUCGCAGGGGCAGUAGCUUUAGCAGGGAUGUCCACAGACUUCCCUCUCCCCAGCCACUUCAUCCAGCUCUUCCGGGGGAUCCCGAGGCGUUACCAGGCCAGCCGAAGGAUGUAGUCUCUCCAGCGUGUCCUGGGUCAUCCCCGGGGUCUCCUCCCGGUGGGACGUGCCCGGAACACCUCACCAGGGAGGCAUCCGAAUCAGAUGCCCCGGCCACCUCAUCUGGCUCCUCUCGAUGUGGAGGAGCAGCGUCUGUACUCUGAGAUCCUCCCGGAUGACCAAGCUUCUCACACUAUCUCUAAGGGAGAGUCCGGACACCCUGCGGAGGAAACUCAUUUCGGCCGCUUGUAUCCGGGAUCUUGUUCUUUCGGUCACGACGCACAGCGAGAUCGACCAGUUAAUCGAGAGCUUCGCCUUUCGGCUUAGCUCCUUCUUUACCACAGCGGACCGAUACAAAGCCCGCAUCACUGCAGACGCUGCACCGAUCCACCUGUCAAUCUCCCGUUCCAUUUUUCCCUCACUCAUGAACAAGACCCCAAGAUACUUGAACUCCUCCACUUGGGGCAGGAUCUCAUCCCCGACCUGGAGAGGGCACGCCCCCCUUUUCUGACUGAGGACCAUGGUCUCAGAUUUGGAGGUGCUGAUUCUCAUUCCAGCCGCUUCACACUCUGCUGCGAACUGUUCCAGUGAGAGUUGGAGAUCACGGCCUGAUGAAGCCAACAGAACCACAUCAUCUGCAAAAAUCAGAGAUGCUAUACUGAGGCCACCAAACCGGUUCACGCCUCCACGCCUCGGCUGCGCCUGGAAAUUCUGUCCAUAAAAGUUAUGAACAGAAUCGGUGACAAAGGGCCGCCUUGGCGGAGUCCAACCCUCACCGGAAACAAGUCAGACUUACUGCCGGAUAUGCAGACCAAACUCUGACUCCGGUCGUACAGGGACCGAACAUCCCGUAUUAGGGGGUUUGGUACCCCAUACUCCCAAAGCACCCUCCACAGGACUUCCCGAGGGACACGGUCGAACGCCUUCUCCAAGUCUACAAAACACAUGAAGACUGGUUGGGCGAACUCCCAUGCACCCUCGAGGACCCUGCCGAGGGUGUUGAGCUGAUCCACUGUUCCAUGGCCAGGAGGAAAACCACACUGCUCCUCCUCAAUCUGAGAUUUGACUUCCCGACGGACCCUCUUCUCCAGCACCCCUGAAUAGACCUUACCAGGGAGGCUGAGGAGUGUGAUCCCCCUGUAGUUGGAACACACCCUCCGGUCCCCCUUCUUAAAAAGGGGGACUACCACCCCAGUCUGCCAAUCCAGAGGCACUGUCCCCGAUGUCCACGCGUUGCCCCAUCCCCACUAUACACAUUGUUGAUGGUGCACUACUUCCCCCUCCUGAGACGCCGGAUGGUGGACCAGAAUUUCCUCGAAGCCAUCCGGAAGUCUGUACAUUAAUCCGCAUUUUAAAAAAAAUUAUAAAAUAAAAAAAUAAAAAAAUCUGCAUUCUUUAAAAAUUACAGUACAACAAGAUAAAGCGAAAUGGUUCAAAGUAUUUGUCCAAUAGUUUAAAAAGGAACCUAAUUAUGCACUUAAAAAUGUUGAACAUAUGGUGAAUGAAUAUUGAGGAUGUCUGAAUCUGAUAAAUUAAUUGGAAUUAUGUUAUAACACAAAGAAAUAAGUGUGUCUGUAUUUUGUACAAAGUGCAAAACCUAUCUGCAUGAUUUUCUGAUUGACUGAUUUUAUUUUUGAUGAUGAUGUAACCACGAAGGCUGCCCAUAUACUGCAAUGUUAACACGAAAUAUUGUAUAAUAAUAAUAAUAAUAGUAGUAAUUAUUAUUAUUAUUGUUGUUGUUGUUGAGAUUUAUAGUCUAAAAAUAGUGCAUUAUGAAAGAAAAAUGGUAUUAUUGUUUUUAAAAAGUGAUUUUUUUUUGCGUGCUUUGGCCAUCAAUAUAUGCAAAUAUAUACACAAGGGCUUUCGAGUCUUGCGCUGAGGAGAGGCUUCCGCCGGGCCACUCUGCCAUAAAGCCCCGACUGGUGGAGGGCUGCAGUGAUGGUUGACUUUCUAGAACUUUUGCCUGUCUCCCGACUACAUCUCUGGAGCUGAGCCACAGUGAUUUUUGGGUACUUCUUUCCUCUCGCACCAAGGCUCUUCUCCCCCAAUUGCUCAGUUUGGCCGGACGGCCAGCUCUAGGAAGGAUUCUGGUCGUCCCAAACGUCUUCCAUUUAAGGAUUAUGGAGGCCACUGUACUCUUAGGAACCUUAAGUACAGCAAAAAAAAAAAAAAAAGUGUAACCUUGGCCAGAUCUGUGCCUUGCCACAAUUCUGUCUGAGCUCUCCAGGUAGUUCCUUUGACCUCAUGAUACUCAUUUGCUCUGACAUGCAUUGUGAGCUGUAAGGGCUUAUAUAGACAGGGGUGUGGCUUUCCUAAUCAAGUCCAAUCAGUAUAAUCAAACACAGCUGGACUCCAAUGAAGGUGUCGAACCAUCUCAAGGAUGAUCAGAAGAAAUGGACAGCACCCUGAGUUAAAUAUAUGAGUGUCACAGCAAAGGGUCUGAAUACUUAGGGCUGUGUGAUAUUUCAGUUUUUCUUUUUUAAUAAAUCUGCAAAAAUGUCAACAAUUCCCUUUUUUUUUGUCAAUGUGGGGUGCUCUGUGUACGUUGUACAUUAAUGAGGGGAAAAAUGAACUCCAAAUGAUUUUAGUAAAUGGCUGCAAUAUAACAAAGAGUGAAAGUUUUAAGAGUGUCUGAAUACUUCCCGUACCCACUGUAUAUUGGCAAUUUCAUUAAA
This is a long non-coding RNA of Phycodurus eques (leafy seadragon), 4987 nucleotides long. RefSeq lists it as uncharacterized. The transcript is spliced from 4 exons. NCBI's taxonomy places the organism in Eukaryota, Metazoa, Chordata, Actinopteri, Syngnathiformes, Syngnathidae. The record is from RefSeq and is a predicted model, not a curated record.